GACGAACGCUGGCGGCGUGCUUAACACAUGCAAGUCGAACGCUGAAGCUCAGCUUGCUGGGUGGAUGAGUGGCGAACGGGUGAGUAACACGUGAGUAACCUGCCCUCUUCUUUGGGAUAACGCCCGGAAACGGGUGCUAAUACUGGAUAUUCACUGAUUCUCGCAUGGGGGUUGGUGGAAAGGUUUUUUCUGGUGGGGGAGGGGUUCGCGGCCUAUCAGCUUGUUGGUGGGGUGAUGGCCUACCAAGGCUUUGACGGGUAGCCGGCCUGAGAGGGUGACCGGUGACGUUGGGACUGAGCUACGGCCCAGACUCCUGCGGGAGGCAGCAGUGGGGAAUAUUGCACAAUGGGCGAAAGCCUGAGGCGGCGACGCCGCGUGAGGGAUGGAGGCCUGCGGGUUGUAAACCUCUUUCGCUCAUGGUCAAGCCGCAGCUUUGGGUUGUGGUGAGGGUAGUGGGUAAAGAAGCGCCGGCUAACUACGUG
This 482-nucleotide ribosomal RNA is filed under the name uncultured bacterium. RNAcentral's name for it is "partial 16S ribosomal RNA". It matches the Rfam family "Bacterial small subunit ribosomal RNA", at positions 28 to 507 of the family's 1533-position model. The record is from RNAcentral.